AAAAGAAGUGGGUAGUUUAACCUUUCGGGGAGGACGCUCACCACUUUGUGGUUCAUGACUGGGGUGAAGUCGUAACAAGGUAGCCCUAGGGGAACCUGGGGCUGGAUCACCUCCUUA
This 117-nucleotide ribosomal RNA is filed under the name Vibrio splendidus. Its description in RNAcentral is "partial 16S ribosomal RNA". It matches the Rfam family "Bacterial small subunit ribosomal RNA", at positions 1419 to 1533 of the family's 1533-position model. Lineage: Bacteria; Pseudomonadati; Pseudomonadota; Gammaproteobacteria; Vibrionales; Vibrionaceae. The record is from RNAcentral. RNAcentral also lists the same sequence under 3 other names.